GGGUUUUCUUUUAUUUUUCUCCCUGCGCCAUCGAGAGGCUUUGAAGAUUCGACUUUCGACGUUCGAGCGCGAUCGAUGGCAUCUCCUGCAGAUUCAACGGCCGCGCUACUCCGAUCCGCUGUUGGUCCUCCGCUUCACGCGACUGACGCCGAUGAGGACGACGAGAGCGUGAAGCAGCUCAAGGAGUGCGCCGUCCUUUACUUGUCUCUUCAGGAAUGCCUCGCCGAGACCAAUAGGGACUGGAAGUCUUGCCAACCUUAUGUUCAAGCACUAAAGGCAUGUCAUGGAAAAAGGGACCACAGUGACCUGAAGUGAAGAUUUAACUAUUGGAACAGGCAGUAGUCUCUACAUUUUGUGAUUGUUCCAUGAUAUGAGUCAUCGAGCAACCACCAUUGCAGGUUGUGAAGCUGCUAUCAUUUGGGUCAUGAAGUGCUUAGUAGUUGAGGUGCAUGCCAAGCUAGAGCUGCUGAGCUUGAGGUUCUGAUUAUAGAGUUUCUUGAUGUAGUUGAUCAGGUUGAAGAAUCUUUUGACCACUAUUCAACUCUUGAGGUCUCUCUUUUGGUUGCAACUGCUCUAGUACCAGGACAUACUAGAGAUAACUAAUCCCAUUAGUUCAUAAAGUUCAGGCCAUUCAUGGGAGAGUCCAAUCCAUUAAAGGCUCAUAAGUAGCUUCACAAUGGGGGUUGUAGAGUUCAAUGUGCAAAGUUGCCUAGAGGAAGAUAAAGUCUUAUUUGCCAGAUACUAUUUUUCUAGAGAUGCUUGGAAUUUGGUGGGAAAUCAUGGGGAUCACUUUGGAAGGGAUUUAAAUGAAGGUGGCAGGGCAGAGCACAAUUACCAUCUAGCAAUAGGUGGUGUUUGUGGUGAUGGUGUUCAAGGUUGUUUAGGACAUAAUUUUUUUUAGGAGCAAAAGGACUGCACGAGGAGCCCCAUCAUCUUGAGAGCAAGCUCAACAAGGUAGAGGAUCAUUACAGAGUUAGAAAGCUCAUUCCUGCACAAUACCUUUCCUUUUCCAUGUAGUAGUAAAAAAUCUCCAUUGCGAUUGCCAACCUCAACCCCUCAAGUGUGGUGCAGUGACAAAACAUUCAAAAAAGUAAUAAAAGGAUUAUGGUUUGAAUCCCAAAUGAGACUAAUAUUCAUAUUAGAGGUCAACUUUUGUGUAUGCAUAAGUUGUAUUUUGGAUUUAUCCUAUAAGAGAGAAGAUCCAUAUUUUGGAGGGGAUUUGUCUAGAAGUCUUAGUAAUAACUCCAUAAGACUUUCUUCUUUUUGUCAGCGAGACUGCUAAUAACCUUGCCUCCUCAUUUUUACAUUGGUCAGCGUAAGUGUUUAUUUAUUUUUUUCUUUUUUGGAGGGUGAUGUUGGGUGUCUCUACAUGUAUUUUUAAAAUUUUAUUUCCUAAACAAGC
This is an RNA transcript of Zingiber officinale, 1402 nucleotides long. It is a transcript of the gene named cytochrome c oxidase assembly factor 4 homolog, mitochondrial-like, with no coding region annotated. NCBI's taxonomy places the organism in Eukaryota, Viridiplantae, Streptophyta, Magnoliopsida, Zingiberales, Zingiberaceae. The transcript is spliced from 4 exons. The record is from RefSeq and is a predicted model, not a curated record.